UACAGAGGGUGCAAGCGUUGUUCGGAAUUAUUGGGCGUAAAGGGUGCGUAGGCGGUGCGGUAAGUCUUCUGUGAAAUCUCCGGGCUCAACUCGGAGUCUGCAGAGGAAACUGCCGUGCUGGAGUAUGGGAGAGGUGAGUGGGAUUCCCGGUGUAGCGGUGAAAUGCGUAGAUAUCGGAAGGAACACCUGUGGCGAAAGCGGCUCACUGGACCAUUACUGACGCUCAGGCGCGACAGCGUGGGGAGCAAACAGG
Molecule: ribosomal RNA, 253 nt
Filed under: uncultured bacterium
Lineage: Bacteria
Description: partial 16S ribosomal RNA
Rfam family: Bacterial small subunit ribosomal RNA
Source: RNAcentral